This 397-nucleotide ribosomal RNA is filed under the name uncultured bacterium. Its description in RNAcentral is "partial 16S ribosomal RNA". It matches the Rfam family "Bacterial small subunit ribosomal RNA", at positions 523 to 918 of the family's 1533-position model. The record is from RNAcentral.
AUACGUAGGUGACAAGCGUUAUCCGGAUUUACUGGGCGUAAAGGGCGUGUAGGCGGUCUUGCAAGUCAGAAGUGAAAUUCCUGAGCUCAACUCGGGCGCUGCUUCUGAAACUGCAGGACUUGAGUGCUGGAGGGGAUAGCGGAAUUCCUAGUGGAGCGGUAAAAUGCGCAGAUAUUAGGAAGAACACCGGUGGCGAAGGCGGCUUUUUGGAGAGUAACGGACGCUGAGGCGCGAAAGCGUGGGGAGCAAACAGGAUGAGAUACCCUGGUAGCCCACGCCGUAAACGAUGAAUACUAGGUGUAGGGGGGAUCGACUCCCUCUGUGCCGCAGGUAACACAAUAAGUAUUCCGCCUGGGGAGUACGGCCGCAAGGUUGAAACUCAAAGGAAUUGACGGGG